RNAcentral lists this ribosomal RNA (421 nucleotides) under Verrucomicrobiota bacterium. Its description in RNAcentral is "Verrucomicrobia bacterium partial 16S ribosomal RNA". It matches the Rfam family "Bacterial small subunit ribosomal RNA", at positions 355 to 776 of the family's 1533-position model. The record is from RNAcentral. Lineage: Bacteria; Pseudomonadati; Verrucomicrobiota.
UGGGGAAUUUUGCACAAUGGGCGCAAGCCUGAUGCAGCGACGCCGCGUGAGGGAUGAAGGCCUUCGGGUUGUAAACCUUUUUCGCUCAUGGUCAAGCCGCAGCUUUGGGUUGUGGUGAGGGUAGUGGGUAAAGAAGCGCCGGCUAACUACGUGCCAGCAGCCGCGGUAAUACGUAGGGCGCGAGCGUUGUCCGGAAUUAUUGGGCGUAAAGGGUACGUAGGCGGUUUUUUAAGUCAGGUGUCAAAGCGUGGAGCUUAACUCCAUUAAGCACUUGAAACUGAAAGACUUGAGUGAAGGAGAGGAAAGUGGAAUUCCUAGUGUAGCGGUGAAAUGCGUAGAUAUUAGGAGGAAUACCGGUGGCGAAGGCGACUUUCUGGACUUUUACUGACGCUCAGGUACGAAAGCGUGGGGAGCAAACAGG